This 1317-nucleotide ribosomal RNA is filed under the name Hemisphaerius sp. 1 NS-2013. Its description in RNAcentral is "SSU rRNA". It matches the Rfam family "Eukaryotic small subunit ribosomal RNA", at positions 440 to 1668 of the family's 1831-position model. Lineage: Eukaryota; Metazoa; Arthropoda; Insecta; Hemiptera; Issidae. The record is from RNAcentral.
AUUACCCACUCCCGGCACGGGGAGGUAGUGACGAAAAAUAACGAUACGGGACUCAUCCGAGGCCCCGUAAUCGGAAUGAGUAUACUCUAAAUCCUUAUACGAGUAUCAAUUGGAGGGCAAGUCUGGUGCCAGCAGCCGCGGUAAUUCCAGCUCCAAUAGCGUAUAUUAAAGUUGUUGCGGUUAAAAAGCUCGUAGUUGGAUCUGUGUCCCGCACCGACGGUUCGCCGCCUGUCGGUGUUCAACCGCCGUGUACGCGGGACGUCCUGCCGGUGGCGGUCCGGCUCUAAGUCGGCACGUAGGGGUCGUCCUUGCUAUGCUUGCGUCGUCCCCGAAGGCCUUCGCGGAUCCGGCCGCCUUUUACAUCCCGUCGCGGUGCUCUUCACCGAGUGUCGAGGCGGGCCGGCACGUUUACUUUGAACAAAUUAGAGUGCUUUAAGCAGGCCCUGUCCCGCCUGUAUGUUGUGUGCAUGGAAUAAUGGAAUAGGACCUCGGUUCUAUUUUGUUGGUUUUCGGAAUCUGAGGUAAUGAUCAAUGGGGACAGGCGGGGGCAUUCGUAUUGCGACGUUAGAGGUGAAAUUCUUGGAUCGUCGCAAGACGGACCGAAGCGAAAGCAUUUGCCAAGUAUGUUCUCGUCGAUCAAGAACGAAAGUUAGAGGUUCGAAGGCGAUCAGAUACCGCCCUAGUUCUAACCAUAAACUAUGCCUGCCAGCGAUCCGCCGAAGUUCCUCCGAUGACUCGGCGGGCAGCUUCCGGGAAACCAGAGCUUUUGGGUUCCGGGGGAAGUAUGGUUGCAAAGCUGAAACUUAAAGGAAUUGACGGAAGGGCACCACCAGGAGUGGAGCCUGCGGCUUAAUUUGACUCAACACGGGAAAACUCACCAGGCCCGGACACCGGAAGGAUUGACAGAUUGAGAGCUCUUUCUUGAUUCGGUGGGUGGUGGUGCAUGGCCGUUCUUAGUUGGUGGAGCGAUUUGUCUGGUUAAUUCCGAUAACGAACGAGACUCUAGCCUACUAACUAGGCGUACCCGGUAUCCACAAUCGUGCUACCGGCGAUCAAAUUUCUUCUUAGAGGGACAGGCGGCUUCUAGCCGCACGAGACUGAGCAAUAACAGGUCUGUGAUGCCCUUAGAUGUCCUGGGCCGCACGCGCGCUACACUGAAGGAAUCAGCGUGUCUUCCCUGUCCGAAAGGACCGGGUAACCCGCUGAACCUCCUUUGUGCUAGGGAUUGGGGCUUGCAAUUGUUCCCCAUGAACGAGGAAUUCCCAGUAAGCGCGAGUCAUAAGCUCGCGUUGAUUACGUCCCUGCCCUUUGUACACA